AACACCCUGCUUAGUGCGUGAAUAACGGAUUAUAUUUUAACCAACACAUCUAAAAAGGAAUUCUGACUCUUCUUGCGGCUGUAAACCACGCCCGCGCGGAAAAAGGCAACUUUUUACCGCGUGCGCCAAGCGAGGGAACAAUAAACAAGAAGGCAGUUGUCCACCUGUUUAAUUACAGGUUAGAAAUGUAUCCUGCGGUCUUUUGACCACUUUACGGCUCGGUGGGGUAAUU
Molecule: non-coding RNA, 232 nt
Filed under: Qingrenia yutianensis
Lineage: Bacteria; Bacillati; Bacillota; Clostridia; Eubacteriales; Oscillospiraceae
Description: 6S / SsrS RNA
Rfam family: 6S / SsrS RNA
About the family: E. coli 6S RNA was the first non coding RNA to be sequenced, but its function was unknown until recently. It consists of 184 nucleotides that fold into an extended hairpin structure with a large single-stranded internal bulge. The 6S RNA specifically associates with RNA polymerase holoenzyme containing the sigma70 specificity factor.
Source: Rfam by way of RNAcentral